AUUGAACGCUGGCGGCAUGCCUUACACAUGCAAGUCGAACGGCAGCAUGAUCUAGCUUGCUAGGUUGAUGGCGAGUGGCGAACGGGUGAGUAAUACAUCGGAACGUGCCCUGUAGUGGGGGAUAACUAGUCGAAAGAUUAGCUAAUACCGCAUACGACCUGAGGGUGAAAGUGGGGGACCGCAAGGCCUCAUGCUAUAGGAGCGGCCGAUGUCUGAUUAGCUAGUUGGUGAGGUAAAGGCUCACCAAGGCGACGAUCAGUAGCUGGUCUGAGAGGACGAUCAGCCACACUGGGACUGAGACACGGCCCAGACUCCUACGGGAGGCAGCAGUGGGGAAUUUUGGACAAUGGGCGAAAGCCUGAUCCAGCAAUACCGCGUGUGUGAAGAAGGCCUUCGGGUUGUAAAGCACUUUUGUCCGGAAAGAAAUGGCUCUGGUUAAUACCUGGGGUCGAUGACGGUACCGGAAGAAUAAGGACCGGCUAACUACGUG
RNAcentral lists this ribosomal RNA (490 nucleotides) under uncultured bacterium. RNAcentral's name for it is "partial 16S ribosomal RNA". It matches the Rfam family "Bacterial small subunit ribosomal RNA", at positions 30 to 507 of the family's 1533-position model. The record is from RNAcentral.